UGGCUCAGAACGAACGCUGGCGGCAGGCCUAACACAUGCAAGUCGAGCGCACUCUUCGGAGUGAGCGGCGGACGGGUUAGUAACGCGUGGGAAUAUACCCUUCACUACGGAAUAGCCUCGGGAAACUGAGAGUAAUACCGUAUACGCCCUUCGGGGGAAAGAUUUAUCGGUGAUGGAUUAGCCCGCGUCUGAUUAGAUAGUUGGUGGGGUAACGGCCUACCAAGUCUACGAUCAGUAGCUGGUUUGAGAGGAUGAUCAGCAACACUGGGACUGAGACACGGCCCAGACUCCUACGGGAGGCAGCAGUGGGGAAUCUUAGACAAUGGGCGCAAGCCUGAUCUAGCCAUGCCGCGUGAGUGACGAAGGCCUUAGGGUCGUAAAGCUCUUUCGCCAGGGAUGAUAAUGACAGUACCUGGUAAAGAAACCCCGGCUAACUCCGUGCCAGCAGCCGCGGUAAUACGGAGGGGGUUAGCGUUGUUCGGAAUUACUGGGCGUAAAGCGCGCGUAGGCGGAUUGGAAAGUUGGGGGUGAAAUCCCGGGGCUCAACCCCGGAACUGCCUCCAAAACUAUCAGUCUAGAGUUCGAGAGAGGUGAGUGGAAUUCCAAGUGUAGAGGUGAAAUUCGUAGAUAUUUGGAGGAACACCAGUGGCGAAGGCGGCUCACUGGCUCGAUACUGACGCUGAGGUGCGAAAGUGUGGGGAGCAAACAGGAUUAGAUACCCUGGUAGUCCACACCGUAAACGAUGAAUGCCAGACGUCGGGGGGCUUGCCCUUCGGUGUCACACCUAACGGAUUAAGCUUCCGCCUGGGGAGUACGGUCGCAAGAUUAAAACUCAAAAGAAUUGACGGGGGCCCGCACUUUCGGUGGAGCAUGUGGUUUAAUUCNAAGCAACGCGCAGAACCUUACCAACCCUUGACAUCCUAGGACCGCCAGAGAGAUCUGGUUUUCACUUCGGUGACCUAGUGACAGGUGCUGCAUGGCUGUCGUCAGCUCGUGUCGUGAGAUGUUCGGUUAAGUCCGGCAACGAGCGCAACCCACAUCCUUAGUUGCCAGCAGUUCGGCUGGGCACUCUAGGGAAACUGCCCGUGAUAAGCGGGAGGAAGGUGUGGAUGACGUCAAGUCCUCAUGGCCCUUACGGGUUGGGCUACACACGUGCUACAAUGGCAUCUACAGUGAGUUAAUCUCCAAAAGAUGUCUCAGUUCGGAUUGGGGUCUGCAACUCGACCCCAUGAAGUCGGAAUCGCUAGUAAUCGCGUAACAGCAUGACGCGGUGAAUACGUUCCCGGGCCUUGUACACACCGCCCGUCACACCAUGGAGUUGGUUCUACCCGACGACGCUGCGCUAACCCUUCGGGGAGGCAGGCGGCCACCGUAGGAUCAGCGACUGGGGUGAAGUCGUA
RNAcentral lists this ribosomal RNA (1400 nucleotides) under Ruegeria sp. 3X/A02/236. Its description in RNAcentral is "16S ribosomal RNA". It matches the Rfam family "Bacterial small subunit ribosomal RNA". Lineage: Bacteria; Pseudomonadati; Pseudomonadota; Alphaproteobacteria; Rhodobacterales; Roseobacteraceae. The record is from RNAcentral.